RNAcentral lists this ribosomal RNA (253 nucleotides) under uncultured bacterium. Its description in RNAcentral is "partial 16S ribosomal RNA". It matches the Rfam family "Bacterial small subunit ribosomal RNA", at positions 524 to 776 of the family's 1533-position model. The record is from RNAcentral.
UACAGAGGUCCCAAGCGUUGUUCGGAUUCACUGGGCGUAAAGGGUGCGCAGGUGGGUUUGCAAGUUCGAUGUGAAAGCCCCGGGCUUAACCUGGGAACUGCAUUGGAAACUGGCAAGCUCGAGUAUGGCAGAGGGGGGUGGAAUUCCGGGUGUAGCGGUGGAAUGCGUAGAGAUCCGGAGGAAGACCGGUGGCGAAGGCGGUCUGCUGGGCAGUUUCUGACACUGAUGCGCGACAGCGUGGGGAGCAAACAGG